GGCGAAAGGGAGAGGAAUAAGUAGAAAUCUACCCUCGGGACGGGGAUAGCGGCGGGAAACUGCCAGUAAUACCCGAUAACGUCUUUGGACCAAAGGUGUGAUUCCGCCUGAGGAUGAGUCUACUUCCUAUUAGCUAGUUGGCGGGGUAAUGGCCCACCAAGGCAACGAUGGGUAGCAGGUGUGAGAGCACGACCUGCCUCAUUGGGACUGAGACACUGCCCAGACACCUACGGGUGGCUGCAGUCGAGAAUCUUCGGCAAUGGACGAAAGUCUGACCGAGCGACGCCGCGUGCGGGAUGAAGGCCUUCGGGUUGUAAACCGCUGUCGUAGGGGAACAAGUUUACGGGGGUUCUCCCCUGUAAUUGAGUGAUCCUAGGAGGAAGGAGAGGCUAAGCUCGUGCCAGCAGCCGCGGUAAGACGAGCUCUCCAAACGUUAUUCGGUAUCACUGGGCUUAAAGAGUUCGUAGGCGGUCUGGUAGGUGAGGUGUGAAAUCCCCCGGCUCAACCGGGGAACUGCGCUUCAAACCACCGGACUUGAGGGAGACAGAGGUGGGCGGAACAGAUGGUGGAGCGGUGAAAUGCGUUGAUAUCAUCUGGAACACCGGUGGCGAAAGCGGCCCACUGGGUCUUUUCUGACGCUGAGGAACGAAAGCUAGGGUAGCGAACGGGAUUAGAUACCCCGGUAGUCC
Molecule: ribosomal RNA, 689 nt
Filed under: uncultured bacterium
Lineage: Bacteria
Description: bacterial SSU rRNA
Rfam family: Bacterial small subunit ribosomal RNA
Source: RNAcentral